CGCGUAUCCAACCUUCCCGCAACUGGGGAAUAACCUUGCGAAAGUAAGACUAAUACCCCAUGGUCUCCACGGAUGGCAUCUGAAAUGGAGUAAAGGUUUCGGCCGGUUGCGGAUGGGGAUGCGUCCGAUUAGCUUGACGGCGGGGUAACGGCCCACCGUGGCAUCGAUCGGUAGGGGUUCUGAGAGGAAGGUCCCCCACAUUGGAACUGAGACACGGUCCAA
Molecule: ribosomal RNA, 222 nt
Filed under: uncultured bacterium
Lineage: Bacteria
Description: partial 16S ribosomal RNA
Rfam family: Bacterial small subunit ribosomal RNA
Source: RNAcentral